This is a non-coding RNA of Heterocephalus glaber (naked mole-rat), 914 nucleotides long. The record is from RefSeq and is a predicted model, not a curated record. Lineage: Eukaryota; Metazoa; Chordata; Mammalia; Rodentia; Bathyergidae.
CCCACUUCCUUCCCCUUUGCCCCUUUUCUUCCUAUUUCACAUUAAGAUGGAUCCACUGUUACCUCUGAGACUAAUGCUGAAUUUAUUCCCUGUCAGGGUAAAGGAAAUCUGAUUUGAUAUCUAUUAAAGAUAAUAGAGAUAGUUUCGUGGCAGGAUUUCUUCAGUGAUUAGAAAGUCAGAUGGACUAAGGUUUAACGUUUGAACUGCAGGACUAGAUUGCCGUCUCCUAAAUGUGGUGGAUUUGGGAACUGCUUCCCUUAGCUGGUAGCACUUCACCAGAGAACAUGCUGCUGAACGAAGGAACAGUGAAUGCAUGCAGGAUAUAACAAGCGACGGUUCAUACUGCUGUGUCUGGUGGAAGCCACUUAGCGCUAACCCUCCUCUCCCGUGGCCCUGAAAUUCUUCCUAUCAUUGUCAGCUGCCCCUCACAGCCUGCUGGGAAAGCGGUGGGGUUGGCCUGAAACGCCCACCGGGUGGAGACGACUGGUUUUUAAGCUGGGCCUUUUAGACCUCGCUGCUCCCCUGCUCCCAUCCGCGCCCACAGCACUGCCUGUGGCCAACGUCUUGUAACCUUUUGAAUCUAUUUCCUCAGCCCUAAAAGGAGAGGCAAUAAAAUAUCUACCUCGGAGGUUUGUAAAAGUAAAGGAAGAAGUGCGGGAAGUGUCCUAACAGUCACAUCCGUUACUGCCCUGUGAAUGUUCAGAGUCAUUGUCCAAAUCCGAGCAACUGCUGUGUGCUGUAGAAGACAAGGCCAGUCGGGAGUCCUCAAGCCUAUGCACACCAGAAAGGUGAUUCCUAACAUGACACUGCAGAAAUAUUGGGCUGAGGCUGACGGAUUUCAAGAACAAGAGCUGGAAAGAGUGACUAUUCACAAGAGUCCUGGUCUGACCACUGGGGCAUGAACUCAAUCCCUU